UACGUAGGGACCGAGCGUUGUCCGGAUUCAUUGGGCGUAAAGAGCUCGUAGGCGGUCUGUCGCGUCGGUCGUGAAAACUUGGGGCUUAACCCUGAGCUUGCGGUCGAUACGGGCAUGACUGGAGUUCGGCAGGGGAGACUGGAAUUCCUGGUGUAGCGGUGAAAUGCGCAGAUAUCAGGAGGAACACCGGUGGCGAAGGCGGGUCUCUGGGCCGAUACUGACGCUGAGGAGCGAAAGCGUGGGGAGCGAACAGG
Molecule: ribosomal RNA, 254 nt
Filed under: uncultured bacterium
Lineage: Bacteria
Description: partial 16S ribosomal RNA
Rfam family: Bacterial small subunit ribosomal RNA
Source: RNAcentral